CGGGCGGCAGCAGCAGUGGGGAAUAUUGCACAAUGGAGGAAACUCUGAUGCAGCAACGCCGCGUGGAGGAUGACACUUUUCGGAGCGUAAACUCCUUUUAUAUAGGAAGAAGAUGACGGUACUAUAUGAAUAAGCGCCGGCUAACUCCGUGCCAGCAGCCGCGGUAAUACGGAGGGCGCAAGCGUUACUCGGAAUCACUGGGCGUAAAGAGCGUGUAGGCGGAUUAAAAAGUCAGAAGUGAAAUCCUAUAGCUUAACUAUAGAACUGCUUCUGAAACUCUUAAUCUAGAAUAUGGGAGAGGUAGAUGGAAUUUCUGGUGUAGGGGUAAAAUCCGUAGAGAUCAGAAGGAAUACCGAUUGCGAAGGCGAUCUACUAGAACAUUAUUGACGCUGAGACGCGAAAGCGUGGGGAGCAAACAGGAUUAGAUACCCGCGUAGUC
RNAcentral lists this ribosomal RNA (439 nucleotides) under uncultured bacterium. RNAcentral's name for it is "partial 16S ribosomal RNA". It matches the Rfam family "Bacterial small subunit ribosomal RNA", at positions 342 to 795 of the family's 1533-position model. The record is from RNAcentral.